GAUGAACGCUGGCGGCGUGCCUAAUACAUGCAAGUCGAGCGAACGGACGAGAAGCUUGCUUCUCUGAUGUUAGCGGCGGACGGGUGAGUAACACGUGGAUAACCUACCUAUAAGACUGGGAUAACUUCGGGAAACCGUAGCUAAUACCGGAUAAUAUUUUGAACCGCAUGGUUCAAAAGUGAAAGACGGUCUUGCUGUCACUUAUAGAUGGAUCCGCGCUGCAUUAGCUAGUUGGUAAGGUAACGGCUUACCAAGGCAACGAUGCAUAGCCGACCUGAGAGGGUGAUCGGCCACACUGGAACUGAGACACGGUCCAGACUCCUACGGGAGGCAGCAGUAGGGAAUCUUCCGCAAUGGGCGAAAGCCUGACGGAGCAACGCCGCGUGAGUGAUGAAGGUCUUCGGAUCGUAAAACUCUGUUAUUAGGGAAGAACAUAUGUGUAAGUAACUGUGCACAUCUUGACGGUACCUAAUCAGAAAGCCACGGCUAACUACGUGCCAGCAGCCGCGGUAAUACGUAGGUGGCGAGCGUUAUCCGGAAUUUAUGGGCGUAACGCGCGUAGCGGUUUUUUAAGUCUGAUGUGAAAGCCCACGGCUCAACCGUGGAGGGUCAUUGGAAACUGGAAAACUUGAGUGCAGAAGAGGAAAGUGGAAUUCCAUGUGUAGCGGUGAAAUGCGCAGAGAUAUGGAGGAACACCAGUGGCGAAGGCGACUUUCUGGUCUGUAACUGACGCUGAUGUGCGAAAGCGUGGGGAUCAAACAGGAUUAGAUACCCUGGUAGUCCACGCCGUAAACGAUGAGUGCUAAGUGUUAGGGGGUUUCCGCCCCUUAGUGCUGCAGCUAACGCAUUAAGCACUCCGCCUGGGGAGUACGACCGCAAGGUUGAAACUCAAAGGAAUUGACGGGGACCCGCACAAGCGGUGGAGCAUGUGGUUUAAUUCGAAGCAACGCGAAGAACCUUACCAAAUCUUGACAUCCUUUGACAACUCUAGAGAUAGAGCCUUCCCCUUCGGGGGACAAAGUGACAGGUGGUGCAUGGUUGUCGUCAGCUCGUGUCGUGAGAUGUUGGGUUAAGUCCCGCAACGAGCGCAACCCUUAAGCUUAGUUGCCAUCAUUAAGUUGGGCACUCUAAGUUGACUGCCGGUGACAAACCGGAGGAAGGUGGGGAUGACGUCAAAUCAUCAUGCCCCUUAUGAUUUGGGCUACACACGUGCUACAAUGGACAAUACAAAGGGCAGCGAAACCGCGAGGUCAAGCAAAUCCCAUAAAGUUGUUCUCAGUUCGGAUUGUAGUCUGCAACUCGACUACAUGAAGCUGGAAUCGCUAGUAAUCGUAGAUCAGCAUGCUACGGUGAAUACGUUCCCGGGUCU
RNAcentral lists this ribosomal RNA (1369 nucleotides) under uncultured bacterium. Its description in RNAcentral is "bacterial SSU rRNA". It matches the Rfam family "Bacterial small subunit ribosomal RNA", at positions 28 to 1381 of the family's 1533-position model. The record is from RNAcentral.